AAUAGAUACCCAGGUAGUCCACGCCGUAAACGAUGAGUGCUAAGUGUUAGGGGGUUUCCGCCCCUUAGUGCUGCAGCUAACGCAUUAAGCACUCCGCCUGGGGAGUACGGUCGCAAGACUGAAACUCAAAGGAAUUGACGGGGGGCCCGCACAAGCGGUGGAGCAUGUGGUUUAAUUCGAAGCAACACGAAGAACCUUACCAGGUCUUGACAUCCCAUUGACCGCUAUGGAGACAUAGUUUUCCCUUCGGGGACAGUGGUGACAGGUGGUGCAUGGUUGUCGUCAGCUCGUGUCGUGAGAUGUUGGGUUAAGUCCCGCAACGAGCGCAACCCUUGUUCUUAGUUGCCAUCAUUUAGUUGGGCACUCUAAGGAGACUGCCGGUGACAAACCGGAGGAAGGUGGGGAUGACGUCAAAUCAUCAUGCCCCUUAUGACCUGGGCUACACACGUGCUACAAUGGACGGUACAAACGGUUGCCAACCCGCGAGGGGGAGCUAAUCCGAUAAAACCGUUCUCAGUUCGGAUUGUAGGCUGCAACUCGCCUAC
RNAcentral lists this ribosomal RNA (545 nucleotides) under uncultured bacterium. RNAcentral's name for it is "bacterial SSU rRNA". It matches the Rfam family "Bacterial small subunit ribosomal RNA", at positions 777 to 1319 of the family's 1533-position model. The record is from RNAcentral.